Molecule: non-coding RNA, 31 nt
Filed under: Mus musculus (house mouse)
Lineage: Eukaryota; Metazoa; Chordata; Mammalia; Rodentia; Muridae
Source: RNAcentral
UGGACUCUUAAGUUUAAGAGUUGGACUCUGU